This 836-nucleotide ribosomal RNA is filed under the name Triticum aestivum (bread wheat). RNAcentral's name for it is "partial small subunit ribosomal RNA". The record is from RNAcentral. Lineage: Eukaryota; Viridiplantae; Streptophyta; Magnoliopsida; Poales; Poaceae.
UGAGAUGUGAGGCGUCCGCUGAUCAGGGGUGCUUUAGGGAUUCCGAAGCGCCGCUCGCGCCGGCCGCCCUCUCGGCCGCUGCUCAAUUAAGUUCCAUCGUUUCCUAAGGCGUCGUCAAGCUGCUCCCCACUCCCGCCGCCCGCGCACGGCCUCUUCCUCCUGUUCCUUUGCUGCUGCCCCCUCCCCCCGCCUCGACCACCAAGACGCACUCCGCCGCUGCUUGGGCCCUCUGCGCUCAAGGACGACGAAGCUGCUGGGCUCCUUACUGGCUGAUUCAAUGACAGACCAAACGUUCCUACCUACCCUACCACGGCUGCCUCUUUAAACGUCCGUUCCAAAACGGAGGUCAUCAGCCGUUCCUAAAAGUUGUGGUCAAAGAAGCCGUAGGGACCUGACCGUCAUAAAUUCUACCUCCUGAUGUAUCUACUCGUGUGACCGCUCUUCGUUCCACGUUCUGUUAACCGUUCUUUGUUAAGUUCUUGGGUGUUGAAAAUACGUCAUAGUACCAACAUGUCCUCCGUUCCUGUCCCCUGGUCUAAACCCCGUUCUAAGUUCAGUCCAAAAGCGUUGUGAACCCAUGUCCUCCGUUGAUACGUUCAUCAUCUCGUACCCCAUGCAUGCACGUUUCCCCCCUCAAGGUGAUCGAGAUCAUCUUGACUUUUCUUAAACUUACCUGGACAAUAGAAAGAACAAAAAAUGGUCCUCUUUGAACGGGUCAAGACCGUUAAAAAAACGGGUGCAAAAGAAGUCUAACAACGGACUAGUUGUGUUUUUCAACGUCUGUUCCAACAAAAGAAGUGCUUAAAAGGUGCUAGAAAAACUGAAACUAAAAGUGU